UGUGCGCCGAAGUCGGGUAUUCCUUGCGCGAUACUCCGCAGUGCUUCGAAGCUAAGUCGGCUAGCGCUUACAAAUGUUCGAAUAGCUCUAUCGCUGCUUCAGUCGUGGCAGUAUAAAGAUGGUGUGUGGGUGGACGCACUAGUGCACUUUAGUCCGGAUUGACCUUCGGGUCACGUUUGUGUAAAUGAGUAUCUGUGGACACCCUGCAAGCACUCGCCCAUCUGCGUGUCUGAUCGACAAAAACAAGCAGGAACACGACAUGCGAUCAUAUCCAGCAGCGAGUCUUGUUUCCGAGGCCUUUUCGUCCCACUUGACGUUUCCUAUGGAGUCCGUUUUCAGGACAUCAUGCUAGUGCGAUACCGAGAUGAAUGUGAUUGAAGACAGUGAUGAGAUACGGUAAAACGAAGUGAGUACUGUAAAACGAAACAUUUCGAAUCAGUGGCUUCCAUGUAGAGCAGAAAAAAAAAAAGAAGAAGAAGAAGAAAAAGAAGGAAGCGGUAGCGACGGAUUGUGACGGCACAACUGGAAAGCCUCUGGCUAUCAAAUUGAUUCAUGGAUUAUUGGCUGCGAACUUAAUUGAACUAUUUUGCGCGACGACUCGGAACAGCAUAAGAAAGCGUGUGACAGUG
Molecule: long non-coding RNA, 629 nt
Organism: Ornithodoros turicata
Lineage: Eukaryota; Metazoa; Arthropoda; Arachnida; Ixodida; Argasidae
Exons: 3
Source: RefSeq, a predicted model, not a curated record